RNAcentral lists this ribosomal RNA (446 nucleotides) under Veillonellaceae bacterium oral taxon 155. RNAcentral's name for it is "bacterial SSU rRNA". It matches the Rfam family "Bacterial small subunit ribosomal RNA", at positions 28 to 465 of the family's 1533-position model. The record is from RNAcentral. Lineage: Bacteria; Bacillati; Bacillota; Negativicutes; Veillonellales; Veillonellaceae.
GACGAACGCUGGCGGCGUGCUUAACACAUGCAAGUCGAACGGAGCUAUUUAUUUCGGUAGAUAGCUUAGUGGCAAACGGGUGAGUAACGCGUAGGCAACCUGCCCUCAGGAUGGGGACAACGGCUCGAAAGAGCCGCUAAUACCGAAUGACGUAACUCUUCCACAUGGAAGAGAUACUAAAGAUGGGUCAAACCAUCGCCUAAGGAUGGGCCUGCGUCUGAUUAGCCAGUUGGUGAGGUAACGGCUCACCAAAGCGACGAUCAGUAGCCGGUCUGAGAGGAUGAACGGCCACAAUGGGACUGAGACACGGCCCAUACUCCUACGGGAGGCAGCAGUGGGGAAUCUUCCGCAAUGGGCGAAAGCCUGACGGAGCAACGCCGCGUGAGUGAAGAAGGUCUUCGGAUCGUAAAGCUCUGUUGCACGGGACGAAAACCGAACUUGAGAAU